Molecule: ribosomal RNA, 481 nt
Filed under: Haptophyta environmental samples
Lineage: Eukaryota; Haptophyta
Description: bacterial SSU rRNA
Rfam family: Eukaryotic small subunit ribosomal RNA
Source: RNAcentral
GCACGACCGCGGUAAUUCCAGCUCCAAUAGCGUAUAUUAAACGUUAGGUUGCAGUUAAAAAGGCUCGGUAGUCGGACUUCGGGCCGGGGUAGACUGUCUGCCAAUUUGGUAUGCACGGUUUUUUGUCCCCGGUCCUCCUUCUGUCGACCGCAUUUUCUCUUAAUUGAGCGAAUGUUUUGUUUUAAGUAAUUAAAAUUUGGGAGGCAGAGCGUUUACUGUGAAAAAAUCAGAGUGCUCAAAGCAGGUCAGCGUCGCUGCUGUAUGGAUUAGCAUGGGAUAAUGAAAUAGGACUUUGGUGCCUAUUUUGUUGGUUUCGGGUAUCGAAGUAAUGAUUAACAGGGACAGUCAGGGGCACUCGUAUUCCGUUGAGAGAGGUGAAAUUCUCAGACCAAUGGAAGACGAACUACUGCGAGAGCAUUUGCCAGGGAUGUUUUCAUUGAUCAAGAACGAAGUUAGGGAUCGAAGAUGAUCAGAUACCGUC